Molecule: unclassified non-coding RNA, 748 nt
Filed under: Hevea brasiliensis (rubber tree)
Lineage: Eukaryota; Viridiplantae; Streptophyta; Magnoliopsida; Malpighiales; Euphorbiaceae
Source: RNAcentral
GAAAUACAAUAAUGGCGCUGAAGCUGCAUGGAUCAGCCAUGUCCACAAGCACCUCUCUUGUGAUAAUUUGUCUCCAUGAGAAAGAAGUAGAUUUUGAGCUCGUCCCUGUUGAUCUUUUCGCCGGCGAACAGAAGCAGCCUCAUUUCCUAGCCAAGAAUCCCUUUGGUCAGGUUCCAGUACUUGAAGAUGGUGAUCUCACUUUAUUUGAAUCCAGAGCAAUCUCAGCAUACAUAGCUGAAAAAUUCAAGGAAACUGGCUAUGAUCUAUUAAGGCACCAAAACCUGCAAGAAGCUGCAUUAGUGAAGGUAUGGAUGGAGGUAGAAUCUCAGCAAUUCCACCCUGCAAUAGCUCCAAUUGUCUACCAAUUUUACGUGGUCCCUCUUAAAGGUGUUUCCCCUGAUCAAGCAAUUAUCGACGACAACUUAGAGAAGCUAGGGAAGGUGCUGGACAUUUAUGAAGCUAGGCUGAGUAGCACCAAGUACCUGGCAGGGGAUUUCUAUAGCUUGGCUGAUCUUCACCACCUUCCUUACACUUGUUAUCUCAUGAAAACCACUGCAGCUUCAGUCAUAAAUGAACGCCCCCAUGUGAAGGCAUGGUGGGAGGAUAUUUCAUCCAGGCCAGUUUCCAAGAAAGCUGCAGAGGGUAUGACUUUUGGUGAGAAAUGUACCUUGAAGAUCAAAGCUCUAUUAUUAUAACUAUUUCAAGAGCUAGCUAGAUAAAUUUGUGGUCUUAAUGUGUUGGAAAUUUG